CCUACGGGACGCUGCAGUGGGGAAUAUUGGACAAUGGGGGCAACCCUGAUCCAGCCAUGCCGCGUGUGUGAAGAAGGCCCUCGGGUUGUAAAGCACUUUCAGUGAGGAAGAACGCCUGGUGGUUAAUACCCAUCAGGAAAGACAUCACUCACAGAAGAAGCACCGGCUAACUCCGUGCCAGCAGCCGCGGUAAUACGGAGGGUGCGAGCGUUAAUCGGAAUUACUGGGCGUAAAGCGCGCGUAGGUGGCUUGAUAAGCCGGUUGUGAAAGCCCCGGGCUCAACCUGGGAACGGCAUCCGGAACUGUCAAGCUAGAGUGCAGGAGAGGAAGGUAGAAUUCCCGGUGUAGCGGUGAAAUGCGUAGAGAUCGGGAGGAAUACCAGUGGCGAAGGCGGCCUUCUGGACUGACACUGACACUGAGGUGCGAAAGCGUGGGUAGCAAACAGGAUUAGAUACCCCAGUAGUC
This 465-nucleotide ribosomal RNA is filed under the name Vreelandella stevensii. RNAcentral describes it as "partial 16S ribosomal RNA". It matches the Rfam family "Bacterial small subunit ribosomal RNA", at positions 338 to 795 of the family's 1533-position model. The record is from RNAcentral. Lineage: Bacteria; Pseudomonadati; Pseudomonadota; Gammaproteobacteria; Oceanospirillales; Halomonadaceae.